GGUUUCGGAGAAGAUUCUGAACAAGAAGGAGCUGGAGUUCUACAAGUGGGAGGGCAAUCUCACCCAGCUGCUGCAGAACGUCCGUGACAAGCUUAACCAAGUCGCUUCUGUAAGUCCUAGGAACCAAACUUUGCAUCUUUUGUCUUCUGCUCUCAAGGCCGAUCAAAUAGCUUCUAACGAAAUGGUAAUUUCGGUUCCGUAUACAUCUUCUGCAGAGCUGGUCCCGGGAGGAGAAGGACCACUGCCUGGAGGAGACGGAGAAGUCAUUCACUUACUCCGGACAGCUCCUCCGCCACAUAUUCACCUGAUCUGACAUUGCC
Molecule: long non-coding RNA, 320 nt
Filed under: Setaria italica (foxtail millet)
Lineage: Eukaryota; Viridiplantae; Streptophyta; Magnoliopsida; Poales; Poaceae
Description: long non-coding RNA (SITA_LNC003227)
Source: RNAcentral